CUUAGAAUUAAAAUGGCAGUAUGCUUAUAUUUAAACAGUGUUACAGGAACACUAAGCCCCGUACCCUUUACCCUAGUCUGUGUAGCUUUAUGUAAAACAGCAAGCAUCAUACUACUGUCAGUAAGUUGGUAUGGGAUUCAGUCAGAUUUCUGUGCAUUAACAACAUAUAGAGGUAAAAUAUCAAAUAGGAUUGAGGAUGAAUGUGUGUGUGUGUAUAUAUAAUAUCCUCAGGAAUGCCAGCAGUGCUGGAUUUGUCAUAAGGCCAUAGCUUCAGGGCAG
Pelobates cultripes (western spadefoot toad) is the source of this 279-nucleotide non-coding RNA. NCBI's taxonomy places the organism in Eukaryota, Metazoa, Chordata, Amphibia, Anura, Pelobatidae. The record is from the annotation of a GenBank genome assembly.